Long non-coding RNA from Pezoporus flaviventris, 572 nucleotides. RefSeq lists it as uncharacterized. The record is from RefSeq and is a predicted model, not a curated record. NCBI's taxonomy places the organism in Eukaryota, Metazoa, Chordata, Aves, Psittaciformes, Psittacidae. The transcript is spliced from 3 exons.
CAAGAUGCCAGUGUUUAGAAGAAAAAUGGAGCCCCUUUAGAAACGUGAAGCUGCCGAGAUAAUGACUGCGAUCUCCCGAAGACUGGAUGGGAACAGCAAAACCAUCUUCCCAAAUCUCAGCCCUGUUGGAAAACCAUCUGGCUUUUCCCUUGCCUGGGUCUUCUGCGAGCAGCAGCUAAUUACUCGAAAGGGUGGGCUGCGAAGGAUUUUUGCAUCAUUGCAAGAAUACAGCCCCUAUUAUUCUACAUGCCAUGCGGCCUUUUAGAGAAUUAAAAAGGCAUAACGAGAAACAUCUUACCCUGCUCUGAAGGAAAAUAAACUACGGUGAAGUUUCUCCGUUCAUCUCAAAAGAAAAUGCCAGGCAAAGCAUAAGGAAGGGACAACUUUCCUCUCUCUGACUAGAAAAUGAGAGGGAAGUUUGUGAGAGAGGAAAGACACCGAGGAGGAGGAGGAAGAAACCAGCAUUUUUCACAACUAGUGUUUCUAGCUUUGGGAAGUUUGGGUUGGGAAGUUUGAAGAAGUUUCCCAUUUCUCUUAAGGACGUGUGGAACAAAAAGCUGAAAACAACAUGG